RNAcentral lists this ribosomal RNA (252 nucleotides) under uncultured prokaryote. RNAcentral describes it as "partial 16S ribosomal RNA". It matches the Rfam family "Bacterial small subunit ribosomal RNA", at positions 524 to 776 of the family's 1533-position model. The record is from RNAcentral.
UACGAAAGGAGCGAGUGUUAUUCAGAUUAACUGGGCGUAAAGGGCACGUAGGUGGUUUGUUAUGUGUAUUGUUAAAUGUUAAAGCUUAACUUUAAUUUGCAAUCUACACAGCUAAGCUAGAGUUAGGUAGGGGGUAGUAGAAUUUCUAGUGUAAAGGUGAAAUUUGAUAAAAUUAGAGAGAAUACCAGCGGCGUAAGCGACUACCUGGGCCUUAACUGACACUGAGGUGCGAAGGUAUGGGUAGCAAAUAGG